UAUCUUAGCGGCGGACGGGUGAGUAAUGCUUAGGAAUCUGCCAUUUAGUGGGGGACAACAUUCCGAAAGGAAUGCUAAUACCGCAUACGUCCUACGGGAGAAAGCAGGGGAUCUUCGGACCUUGCGCUAAAUGAUGAGCCUAAGUCGGAUUAGCUAGUUGGUGGGGUAAAGGCCUACCAAGGCGACGAUCUGUAGCGGGUCUGAGAGGAUGAUCCGCCACACUGGGACUGAGACACGGCCCAGACUCCUACGGGAGGCAGCAGUGGGGAAUAUUGGACAAUGGGCGGAAGCCUGAUCCAGCCAUGCCGCGUGUGUGAAGAAGGCCUUUUGGUUGUAAAGCACUUUAAGCGAGGAGGAGGCUACUAGUACUAAUACUACUGGAUAGUGGACGUUACUCGCAGAAUAAGCACCGGCUAACUCUGUGCCAGCAGCCGCGGUAAUACAGAGGGUGCGAGCGUUAAUCGGAUUUACUGGGCGUAAAGCGUGCGUAGGCGGCUUUUUAAGUCGGAUGUGAAAUCCCCGAGCUUAACUUGGGAAUUGCAUUCGAUACUGGGAAGCUAGAGUAUGGGAGAGGAUGGUAGAAUUCCAGGUGUAGCGGUGAGAUGCGUAGAGAUCUGGAGGAAUACCGAUGGCGAAGGCAGCCAUCUGGCCUAAUACUGACGCUGAGGUACGAAAGCAUGGGGAGCAAACAGGAUUAGAUACCCUGGUAGUCCAUGCCGUAAACGAUGUCUACUAGCCGUUGGGGCCUUUGAGGCUUUAGUGGCGCAGCUAACGCGAUAAGUAGACCGCCUGGGGAGUACGGUCGCAAGACUAAAACUCAAAUGAAUUGACGGGGGCC
RNAcentral lists this ribosomal RNA (838 nucleotides) under uncultured bacterium. RNAcentral's name for it is "bacterial SSU rRNA". It matches the Rfam family "Bacterial small subunit ribosomal RNA", at positions 88 to 921 of the family's 1533-position model. The record is from RNAcentral.